CCGGGAGUCGGUCGGACGUUCGCGUCCGCUCACCGGGUCAGGUCCGGAAGGAAGCAGCCCAGGUGGAUGGCAGCGGGUCGGCCGGCUCCUUUUUCA
Molecule: signal recognition particle RNA, 96 nt
Filed under: Altererythrobacter ishigakiensis
Lineage: Bacteria; Pseudomonadati; Pseudomonadota; Alphaproteobacteria; Sphingomonadales; Erythrobacteraceae
Description: Bacterial small signal recognition particle RNA
Rfam family: Bacterial small signal recognition particle RNA
About the family: The signal recognition particle (SRP) is a universally conserved ribonucleoprotein involved in the co-translational targeting of proteins to membranes. Archaeal SRP consists of a 7S RNA and homologues of the eukaryotic SRP19 and SRP54 proteins. In most bacteria, the SRP consists of a 4.5S RNA and the Ffh protein (a homologue of the eukaryotic SRP54 protein).
Source: RNAcentral